UACGUAGGGUGCAAGCGUUGUCCGGAAUUAUUGGGCGUAAAGAGCUCGUAGGCGGCUUGGCAAGUCGGGUGUGAAAACUCCAGGCUCAACCUGGAGACGCCACCCGAUACUGCCAUGGCUAGAGUCCGGUAGGGGACCACGGAAUUCCUGGUGUAGCGGUGAAAUGCGCAGAUAUCAGGAGGAACACCGGUGGCGAAGGCGGUGGUCUGGGCCGGAACUGACGCUGAGGAGCGAAAGCGUGGGGAGCGAACAGG
This 254-nucleotide ribosomal RNA is filed under the name uncultured bacterium. RNAcentral describes it as "partial 16S ribosomal RNA". It matches the Rfam family "Bacterial small subunit ribosomal RNA", at positions 524 to 776 of the family's 1533-position model. The record is from RNAcentral.